Molecule: long non-coding RNA, 545 nt
Organism: Drosophila montana
Lineage: Eukaryota; Metazoa; Arthropoda; Insecta; Diptera; Drosophilidae
Exons: 2
Source: RefSeq, a predicted model, not a curated record
AAUUAACGACCAAGCAUACUUGCCACUUAGAAGUGUUAAUGUGUACAAUAAUUUCUCAGGGAGUGAGACGCGCGCAAUUGGCUGAUGAUGUUCCGCACCGGCUAUAGCUUUGCCAACGACCUGGAGCAGCUUCUCUGCUGCGCUGCAUGCGGAAUUGUUCCUUGAACUGAUCAUCCUGAUAUCGUGGCAUGGAGCGUAUAUGUUUAUCUUCGCCCCCAGUGGCUGUACUCAGGACAUUUAAUGUACUCUCAGACGUAACUAGCCGUACUGCCUCGGCCAAUUGGGGGCCCAGACCCUCGUCCAGAAAAAAAUUCAGCAUAAAUGCUUUGUGAGCGCGUGCAUUCAUUUUACGCGGAAAACAAGGUAAACAAAAUCAAAGUAAACAAAAGAACACAACACUAACAGCGACAGCUGUGAGUACUCAACAACUUUAACAUUUGCUGUCAAGUCAACAAUUAUGUAAACAGAACAAAAACGUAGAGAUGAUACGCUGUAAAUACAAGUAGUUAUUAUCGGUCUAUCGAAAUGACAUUUUAGUGUAAAAA